Long non-coding RNA from Arvicola amphibius (Eurasian water vole), 719 nucleotides. RefSeq lists it as uncharacterized. NCBI's taxonomy places the organism in Eukaryota, Metazoa, Chordata, Mammalia, Rodentia, Cricetidae. The transcript has 4 exons. The record is from RefSeq and is a predicted model, not a curated record.
GCAAUGUUUGCUCCGGCAGAAAAAAUGAAAGUGAAAAUGGAUGACAGGAAAUAAGGUCGUUUACCUAGGACCAGAAUCCAAUUAUCAAAGGGGAAAUCAUUGCGAGUUAACCAGGAGGUGAUCACAUAUCCCACAGCUGUGAGAAUGGAUUGAUUUGUGAGAGAAUUGGCAGCUGGAGAAUGAUCUGUCCCACUGGCUUUGGCUGAUACUUUGAAUCCUGUUCCUCAUGCAGGAUUGCAUUUCCCUGCCUAAGUAUAGGCAGGAAGUAUAAGUGGGACAAGCUGAGAGGAAGUUAAGGUCGUGCAAUGAAAACUGGAGAAUAUUGGGAUGCAGGAAGCCCAUUCCUCUCCAGUCCUUCCCAGACCACCAAAGACACAGGAUGUGACCUGUGAACUGAAAAAGGAAAUGAGAGGCUGUGGAUUCAUUCUGAGUUAAGAAAAAUUAUAUUUGUUUAAGGAAGACAACCUGAGAAAUCUCCGAUAAGAAGAUUUCUUACCUGGAUCUCUAAGAUCUAUAUCCAGAACAGAUACAAGAUGAUGCCUGAUAUGAUCAAUUCUCAGGGCUUGAUCAUAACUCUAAAUUUUCUUUAGGUCCCCAAAAUAUUAUCAGUGCUCCAACCAGCCAGAAGUAGGCUGGAAUACUACACUCACAUUUCCCAAAAAUGGACUAUGGAUAUUCUUGUUUUCUCAAAAUAAAGAGGAUUAAGUAGUGGUAUGCAA